Molecule: long non-coding RNA, 267 nt
Organism: Trichomycterus rosablanca
Lineage: Eukaryota; Metazoa; Chordata; Actinopteri; Siluriformes; Trichomycteridae
Exons: 3
Source: RefSeq, a predicted model, not a curated record
GGGAUCUAUUCACUGCUGUGGACGAUUUCAUAAAAUAACUAUUCGAGAAACAAGUAUUGCAGCUGUUAAUUACAGUUGCAUGAUGAUGAUAGUGAAGAUGAAAACCCUGUAGUUAGUCAUCAACCAGAGAAAGUCACAGUAGAAAUUAAUAAUGAAGCCAUAAUUACAUCCCUUUGUGCGCUCCUUGGCCAACACUAAUGUUUUGGUUCCAAAGAAUGCCUUCCAGAGACUCAACAGAACAAUGUUUUCUGCAUCUUUGCGCAAGAG